RNAcentral lists this ribosomal RNA (207 nucleotides) under uncultured bacterium. Its description in RNAcentral is "partial 16S ribosomal RNA". It matches the Rfam family "Bacterial small subunit ribosomal RNA", at positions 568 to 774 of the family's 1533-position model. The record is from RNAcentral.
AGCGCAGGCGGGAGAACAAGUUGGAAGUGAAAUCCAUGGGCUCAACCCAGGAACUGCUUUCAAAACUGUUUUUCUUGAGUAGUGCAGAGGUAGGCGGAAUUCCCGGUGUAGCGGUGGAAUGCGUAGAUAUCGGGAGGAACGCCAGUGGCGAAGGCGGCCUACUGGGCACCAACUGACGCUGAGGCUCGAAAGUGUGGGUAGCAAACA